Molecule: ribosomal RNA, 447 nt
Filed under: uncultured bacterium
Lineage: Bacteria
Description: bacterial SSU rRNA
Rfam family: Bacterial small subunit ribosomal RNA
Source: RNAcentral
UGGGGAAUUUUGGACAAUGGGCGAAAGCCUGAUCCAGCCAUGCCGCGUGAGUGACGAAGGCCUUAGGGUUGUAAAACUCUUUCGUCGGGGACGAUAAUGACGGUACCCGAAGAAGAAGCUCCGGCUAACUUCGUGCCAGCAGCCGCGGUAAUACGAAGGGAGCUAGCGUUGUUCGGAAUCACUGGGCGUAAAGCGCACGUAGGCGGAUAGUUAAGUCAGGGGUGAAAUCCUGGGGCUCAACCCCAGAACUGCCUUUGAUACUGGCUGUCUCGAGGUCGAGAGAGGUUGGUGGAAUUCCUAGUGUAGAGGUGAAAUUCGUAGAUAUUAGGAAGAACACCAGUGGCGAAGGCGGCCAACUGGCUCGAUACUGACGCUGAGGUGCGAAAGCGUGGGGAGCAAACAGGAUUAGAUACCCCCGUAGUCCCUGAGCGGGCUGGCAAGGCGCAU